CAGUCGAUUAAUGGAAAAAACCCUAAGAUUUGGGGUUCAUUUGAGUUCUGAUAUUAUUUGCUAUGUGACUUGUUUGUUUCUCAUUUCUGAACUUGUUUGGUUUCAAAAGCCUAAUUUCUUUGGACCUACUUGAGUUUCUGAAGUUGUCUCAUCUAUUGUUCGACUGAAUUUCAAAAUAUUUUGUUUCUUUAUCUUAUUCUAAAUCCCUUCUAAACUCUUCUAAGGUCUUUCUACUGAACCCAUUGCACGCUAUUUGAUACUCUCUCUCUCUUCUCCAUUGGUUAUUGAAACUGAACUAUGGGACUACCAUGUUCCUAUAGUCUACUACUUACUGAUUUUGUAAUUGUGUGACACUUUUCUUUGUCCUAAAUUAAGCCUCACAUGCCUAAUACUUGUGUGCUAUUUAUAUAUGUUGAGCUUCCUCUCUAAAAUGACUUUCAAUUUUUGACUGAUUUCAUACCUACUUGUGUAAGUCUGAUUAUUUAUUUCCCUAUUUGUUGAUGU
This 504-nucleotide long non-coding RNA is filed under the name Nicotiana benthamiana. RNAcentral's name for it is "long non-coding RNA (NBEN_LNC002324)". The record is from RNAcentral. Lineage: Eukaryota; Viridiplantae; Streptophyta; Magnoliopsida; Solanales; Solanaceae.